GACCUCGGAUCAGGUAGGAAUACCCGCUGAACUUAAGCAUAUCAAUAAGCCGG
RNAcentral lists this ribosomal RNA (53 nucleotides) under Phomopsis sp. MAGG 1. RNAcentral's name for it is "partial 28S ribosomal RNA". The record is from RNAcentral. Lineage: Eukaryota; Fungi; Ascomycota; Sordariomycetes; Diaporthales; Diaporthaceae.